AUGCUGUUCAUUGGCCCAGGAUGGGUGCUGGUUGCUGGCCCAGGAUGGGUGUCGGUCAAUGGCUCAGGAUGGGUGCAGCUCAGUAGCCAAGGAUGGGUGCUGGUCACUGGCUCAGGAUGGGUGGUGGUCACUAGCCCAGGAUGGGUGCCGGUCGUUGCCCAAGGAUGGGUGCUGGUCAGUAGCCAAGGAUGGGUGCUGAUCUGUGGCCCAGGAUGGGUGCGGGUCAGUAGCCAUGGAUGGGUGCUGUUCAGUAGCCAAAGAUGGGUGCUGGUCACUGGCCCAGAAUGGGUGCUGUUCUUUGGCCCAGGAUGGGUGCUGUUCUUUGGCCCAGGAUGGGUGCGGGUCAGUAGCCAAGGAUGGGUGAUGGUCACUGACUCAGGAUGGGUGCAGCUCAGUAGCCAAGGAUGGGUGCUGGUCACUGGCCAAGGAUGGGUGCUGGUCACUAGCCCAGGAUGGGUGCUGGUCUUUGCCCAAGGAUGGGUGCUGUUCUUUGGCCGAGCAUGGGUGCUGGUUGCUGGCCCAGGAUGGGUGCUGGUCACUGGCUCAGUUUGGGUGCUGUUCUUUGGCCCAGCAUGGGUGCUGGUCGUUGCCCAAGGAUGGGUGCUGUUCUUUGGCCCAGGAUGGGUGUGGGUCAGUAGCCAAGGAUGGGUGAUGGUCACUGGCUCAGGAUGGGUGCUGGUUGGUGGCCCAGGAUGGGUGCUGUUCUUUGGCCCAGGAUGGGUCCUGGUCAGUAGCCAAGGAUGGGUGCUUGUCAGAAGCCAAGGAUGGGUGCUGUUCUUUGGCCCAGGAUGGGUGCUGUUUGCUGGCCCAGGAUGGGUGCUGGUCGUUGCGCAAGGAUGGGUGCAGUUCAGUAGCCAAGGAUGGGUGCUGGUCACUGGCUCAGGAUGGGUGCUGGUCAUUAGCCCAGGAUGGGUGCCGGUCAUUGCCCAAGGAUGGGUGCUGUUCUUCCGCCAAGGAUGGGUGCUGGUUGCUGGCCCAGGAUGGGUGUCGGUCAAUGGCUCAGGAUGGGUGCAGUUCAGUAGCCAAGGAUGGGUGCUGGUCACUAGCCCAGAAUGGGUGCUGUUCGUUGCCUAA
RNAcentral lists this long non-coding RNA (1074 nucleotides) under Phasianus colchicus (ring-necked pheasant). RNAcentral's name for it is "lncRNA (ENSPCLG00000013455.1)". Lineage: Eukaryota; Metazoa; Chordata; Aves; Galliformes; Phasianidae. The record is from RNAcentral.